This 408-nucleotide long non-coding RNA is filed under the name Eucalyptus grandis. RNAcentral describes it as "long non-coding RNA (EGRA_LNC005043)". Lineage: Eukaryota; Viridiplantae; Streptophyta; Magnoliopsida; Myrtales; Myrtaceae. The record is from RNAcentral.
UGUAUUUCUUAAACAUUUACUUCUCUUCGACCCCAUUUUAACUUCUUUCUUUUCCCCACAUGCAUAUGCCUGUGCUCAUUUGUAGAAGAUACAUUCAUUUGAGGCCAGCCAGAAGAAAAAAGAGACAAAAAUCAAUCCAAUGCUAAAAAAUAAAGAGCCAAGCCGAGGCUUGGAAUGUUUCGUUAUAACCUAUAACAGUUGCGAGAAGUCAUGAACAACAAUGAAGAUGAAUGCCCCCGUUCCUCUCACCCGAAAAAAAAAAAAAAAAAAAAAAAAAAAAAAAAAAAAAAAAAAAAAAAAAAAAAAAAAAAAAAAAAAAACCCGGAAACCCGACCCGACCCGACCCGAAUUUCCUAUGCGAGUUUAAUGUGUUUCGGGUCGGGUCGGGUCGGGUAACAUCAAGACCCG